GACGAACGCUGGCGGCGUGCCUAAUACAUGCAAGUUGAGCGAUGAAGAUUGGUGCUUGCACCAAUUUGAAGAGCAGCGAACGGGUGAGUAACGCGUGGGGAAUCUGCCUUUGAGCGGGGGACAACAUUUGGAAACGAAUGCUAAUACCGCAUAACAACUUUAAACAUAAGUUUUAAGUUUGAAAGAUGCAAUUGCAUCACUCAAGGAUGAUCCCGCGUUGUAUUAGCUAGUUGGUGAGGUAAAGGCUCACCAAGGCGAUGAUACAUAGCCGACCUGAGAGGGUGAUCGGCCACAUUGGGACUGAGACACGGCCCAAACUCCUACGGGAGGCAGCAGUAGGGAAUCUUCGGCAAUGGACGAAAGUCUGACCGAGCAACGCCGCGUGUGUGAAGAAGGGUUUCGGAUCGUAAAACUCUGUUGGUAGAGAAGAACGUUGGUGAGAGUGGAAAGCUCAUCAAGUGACGGUAACUACCCAGAAAGGGACGGCUAACUACGUG
RNAcentral lists this ribosomal RNA (497 nucleotides) under uncultured bacterium. RNAcentral describes it as "partial 16S ribosomal RNA". It matches the Rfam family "Bacterial small subunit ribosomal RNA", at positions 28 to 507 of the family's 1533-position model. The record is from RNAcentral.